UACAGAGGGUGCAAGCGUUGUUCGGAAUUAUUGGGCGUAAAGCGCGUGUAGGCGGCUUGGCAAGUCAGAUGUGAAAGCCCUCGGCUUAACCGAGGAAGUGCGUCUGGAACUGCUGAGCUUGAGUCUCGGAGAGGAUGGCGGAAUUCCGCAAGUAGAGGUGAAAUUCGUAGAUAUGCGGAGGAACACCGGUGGCGAAGGCGGCCAUCUGGACGAGUACUGACGCUGAGACGCGAAAGCGUGGGGAGCAAACAGG
This 253-nucleotide ribosomal RNA is filed under the name uncultured bacterium. Its description in RNAcentral is "partial 16S ribosomal RNA". It matches the Rfam family "Bacterial small subunit ribosomal RNA", at positions 524 to 776 of the family's 1533-position model. The record is from RNAcentral.